This 325-nucleotide unclassified non-coding RNA is filed under the name Hevea brasiliensis (rubber tree). The record is from RNAcentral. Lineage: Eukaryota; Viridiplantae; Streptophyta; Magnoliopsida; Malpighiales; Euphorbiaceae.
AAAAAAAAACCAAAUUGAAACUAUAUUAAAAAUUUAAUUUGAUUCUAAAUAAACCUUAACUUCAACUGAAAUCGCACAACUUUUCACCGAUGAAAAUUAUUAUUACAUCAGUAUCAGCAUCAGCAUCCAAAUGAACUGCCUUUGGCCUUUUAUUCGUGCUAGUUGCAAGAAAAGAACAUUACCAUUCCAUUUGGAAUGAUUCUAAGAAUAAAAUUCAAUACAAUCCAUUAAAAAGAAUUGAAUUCAAAUGAAUUUAUGUAAAAUUACGCCAGUUUUAGCAUAAAUUCUUCUUUCAAAAUAAUUUUUUUAAUUAAAAAAAUUAAAU